This 105-nucleotide transfer RNA is filed under the name Pseudozyma flocculosa. Its description in RNAcentral is "Anthracocystis flocculosa transfer RNA-Ala(AGC)". It matches the Rfam family "tRNA". Rfam says of the family: Transfer RNA (tRNA) molecules are approximately 80 nucleotides in length. Their secondary structure includes four short double-helical elements and three loops (D, anti-codon, and T loops). Further hydrogen bonds mediate the characteristic L-shaped molecular structure. tRNAs have two regions of fundamental functional importance: the anti-codon, which is responsible for specific mRNA codon recognition, and the 3' end, to which the tRNAs corresponding amino acid is attached (by aminoacyl-tRNA synthetases). tRNAs cope with the degeneracy of the genetic code in two manners: having more than one tRNA (with a specific anti-codon) for a particular amino acid; and 'wobble' base-pairing, i.e. permitting non-standard base-pairing at the 3rd anti-codon position. Lineage: Eukaryota; Fungi; Basidiomycota; Ustilaginomycetes; Ustilaginales; Ustilaginaceae. The record is from RNAcentral.
GGGGGUUUAGCUCAGUUGGCAGAGCGUUCGCUUAGCACGGCACCGCUUCUUUGGGCUGUCCAAGUGAUUUGCGAAAGGUCGCGUGUUCGACUCAUGCAGUCUCCA